Molecule: ribosomal RNA, 253 nt
Filed under: uncultured bacterium
Lineage: Bacteria
Description: partial 16S ribosomal RNA
Rfam family: Bacterial small subunit ribosomal RNA
Source: RNAcentral
GACGAACCGUGCAAACGUUGUUCGGAAUCACUGGGCUUAAAGGGCGCGUAGGCGGAGGACCAAGUCCGGGGUGAAAUCUUUCGGCUCAACCGGAAAACUGCCUUGGAUACUGGUCUUCUUGAGGGAGGUAGGGGCAGGUGGAACUUCCGGUGGAGCGGUGAAAUGCGUUGAUAUCGGAAGGAACGCCGGUGGCGAAAGCGGCCUGCUGGAUCUCUUCUGACGCUGAGGCGCGAAAGCUAGGGUAGCGAACGGG